RNAcentral lists this small RNA (29 nucleotides) under Bombyx mori (domestic silkworm). RNAcentral describes it as "ovarian small RNA-1534". The record is from RNAcentral. Lineage: Eukaryota; Metazoa; Arthropoda; Insecta; Lepidoptera; Bombycidae.
UGAUCGGUAAUGAUGUUUAUGGAUUCGAC